AACGAACGCUGGCGGCAUGCCUAACACAUGCAAGUCGAACGAGACCUUCGGGUCUAGUGGCGCACGGGUGCGUAACGCGUGGGAACCUGCCCUUAGGUUCGGAAUAACUCCCCGAAAGGGGUGCUAAUACCGGAUAAUGUCUUCGGACCAAAGAUUUAUCGCCUUUGGAUGGGCCCGCGUUGGAUUAGCUAGUUGGUAGGGUAAAAGCCUACCAAGGCGACGAUCCAUAGCUGGUCUGAGAGGAUGAUCAGCCACACUGGGACUGAGACACGGCCCAGACUCCUACGGGAAGCAGGAGUGGGGAAUAGUGGACAGUGGGCGAAAGCCUGAUGCAGCAAUGACGCGUGAGUGAUGAAGGCCUUAGGGUUGUAAAGCUCUUUUACCCGGGAUGAUAAUGACAGUACCGGGAGAAUAAGCUCCGGCUAACUCCGUG
RNAcentral lists this ribosomal RNA (433 nucleotides) under uncultured bacterium. RNAcentral's name for it is "partial 16S ribosomal RNA". It matches the Rfam family "Bacterial small subunit ribosomal RNA", at positions 29 to 507 of the family's 1533-position model. The record is from RNAcentral.